GAUAAACGCUGGCGGCGCACAUAAGACAUGCAAGUCGAACGAACGAGAGUGAAUCUUUUAGUUUUGCUCAAGUUAGUGGCGGACUGGUGAGUAACGCGUGAGCAACCUGCCUACGAGAGGGGAAUAACAGUUAGAAAUGACUGCUAAUACCGCAUAAGCUGAAAGAAUCGCAUGAUUAAGUCAGAAAAGGAGCAAUCCGCUUGUAGAUGGGCUCGCGUCCGAUUAGCUAGUUGGUGAGGUAAAGGCUUACCAAGGCGACGAUCGGUAGCCGGACUGAGAGGUUGAACGGCCACAUUGGGACUGAGAUACGGCCCAG
RNAcentral lists this ribosomal RNA (316 nucleotides) under uncultured bacterium. Its description in RNAcentral is "bacterial SSU rRNA". It matches the Rfam family "Bacterial small subunit ribosomal RNA", at positions 28 to 334 of the family's 1533-position model. The record is from RNAcentral.